RNAcentral lists this ribosomal RNA (469 nucleotides) under uncultured bacterium. RNAcentral's name for it is "bacterial SSU rRNA". It matches the Rfam family "Bacterial small subunit ribosomal RNA", at positions 335 to 800 of the family's 1533-position model. The record is from RNAcentral.
ACUCCUACGGGAGGCAGCAGUAAGGAAUAUUGGACAAUGGGCGCAAGCCUGAUCCAGCCAUCCCGCGUGCAGGAAGACAGCCCUAUGGGUUUUAAACUGCUUUUAGAAGGGAAGAAACGCCUACAUUUAUGUGGGUUUGACGGUACCUUCAGAAUAAGCACCGGCUAACUCCGUGCCAGCAGCCGCGGUAAUACGGAGGGUGCGAGCGUUAUCCGGAUUUAUUGGGUUUAAAGGGUGCGUAGGUGGAAGUAUAAGUCAGUGGUGAAAGUUUGCCGCUUAACGGUAAAAUUGCCAUUGAAACUGUAUUUCUUGAGAGUAUUCGAAGUAGGCGGAAUGAGUAAUGUAGCGGUGAAAUGCAUAGAUAUUACUCAGAACACCGAUUGCGUAGGCAGCUUACUAGGAUAUUUCUGACACUGAUGCACGAAAGCGUGGGGAGCGAACAGGAUUAGAUACCCUGGUAGGAUAGCGU